Long non-coding RNA from Myxocyprinus asiaticus (Chinese sucker), 1211 nucleotides. RefSeq lists it as uncharacterized. The record is from RefSeq and is a predicted model, not a curated record. The transcript is spliced from 5 exons. Lineage: Eukaryota; Metazoa; Chordata; Actinopteri; Cypriniformes; Catostomidae.
ACAGAAUCACAUCUAUGUCAGUCAAAGUCCAUCCUGAGAGCGAACAAAAUACAACUGCUGGUGAGAAGAUAGAGUCUCAGAGAGUGAAGAGUUUCCCUGGACGACAAACCUCAGACACUAGCCAGCUUGUCCAUGAGAAGCCAUGCUGAAUGAGAUAAAGGCAUAUUUUGUGGGCAAAACAAAAGAGUUGACACUAAGUUUGUCCGAUGCUCUGGACCGCACUGCUAAGAAGAGAUGGGAUUUUGGGGUCCAGAGAUUCCGGUCUCCUUGCAAAAUGGCAUCCCGUGGAUGAAUCCAUUCUGCUGUGACCUCCUUCACUUCUGUGGCCUCUACGCCAACAGUGCAGCGCUCAAAACCCCCUGAUACCACUGAGGAUCCUUACAGUACUCAGUGGUGUGUGUGUAUGAAUGCCUAUGUCAGCUCCAGUGCUUUUGAAAACACUGGUGCAAAGUGAUAGCUCACCCAAAAAUAAAAUGCUGUCAUCAUUUACAAACCCUCAUGUUGUUCCAAACUUGUGUCUUCCUGUUUGAGAUGUAGAAUAUUAACCUCAAUCACGAUUCACUUUCAUUGCUUGGAAAAUAUAUGCAAUGAAAGUGAAUGGUGACUGAGGCUAAUAUUCUACCUACUAUUGUGUUCCAUGGAAGAAAGAAGGUUGUGACGUGGGUUUGGUAUAACAUGAGGGCUCUCGGCGUUGCUCAGAAGCCUGGCCCCCAUCAAACACUCAGACAGGAGGAUAACAUGUUUACUGGACAAGUUGAGUAGAUUUACAGAAGGCGACACACUGCGAGUUCACCCACACAGCUUUCUCAGGGUCCUAAACUCCCUCCAACCCUGGGAGCUUUGCUACCCAGACCUGUGUGUAGCUUUAGAGAUAGUGAGGCAGAAUGUGGUAAAGAUGCCUAAAGCAGAAUACAACACAUGGCUACACAGCAGAGUCAAACAAUCACAGUCCACCAAGAGUGCAACACACGACUUUUUUGCUAUCAUAACAAACUCACAAAUUGCAUAAAUGUUUUUCAUUAUGUUACAGUAUUUUUUUUCACUGUAAUACAACAAAAAAAUACUUUAUUAAAGUAAUGGUAAAAUGAAAGAAAAUCACCAUUUAGAAUAAAAAAAGAAAAUAAAAAAAGAAAAGAUUCUCUCUCUAUUUUGCUCUUUUAUUACAAACUCAAAAAUGCCAUGAAUGUUUUUGUGAAUCUCUGAUCAAUUUA